RNAcentral lists this transfer RNA (85 nucleotides) under Felis catus (domestic cat). It matches the Rfam family "tRNA". From Rfam's summary of the family: Transfer RNA (tRNA) molecules are approximately 80 nucleotides in length. Their secondary structure includes four short double-helical elements and three loops (D, anti-codon, and T loops). Lineage: Eukaryota; Metazoa; Chordata; Mammalia; Carnivora; Felidae. The record is from Rfam by way of RNAcentral.
GCCUGGGUGGCUCAGUCAGUUAAGCAUCUGACUUCAAUUCAGGUCAUGAUCUCACGGUUUGCGGGUUCGAGCCCUGCGUUGGGCU